UUUAUUCAUCUUUCCCCCAGUAUCUGGCACAAUAACCAAGCAGGUGAUUUCAACUAGGGCUGAAGUUAGUUCCUAUUAAGAUACCAUCUUUGGCCCUGACAGGUAGUUAGAGCGGAUUCCGGUCAAGGGCGUGUACCUGGGUUGCAGGUUCCAUCCCGCCUAGUCCAGGCGCGUGUGGGAGGCAAUCAAUCGUGUGUCUCUCUUACAAGGAAGUUUCUCCCUCCCCCUUCCACUUUCUCUGAAAAAUCAAUGGAAGAAAAAAAAAAUCCUCGGGUGAGGAUAAAAAAAAAAUACCAUCUUUGUCCGGAGGAGCUCACAAAUUAACGGGGAACGUGCUAAGCAUCAUUAAGUAAUCACUUCAGUAAAAGCUGUAGAAAGGGUAACAGGAACACGGGUUCCUGCCUUCCUUAUCAUUUACAUGGUCCAACAGGGUACAAGAGAGCUCUUGUAAUAGUUAACGCUUGAGUGCUUUCCUUGUGCCUCCGCGUUCCACGUGUUAAGUCUCAAGUCACACCCCCCAAAACCCUGUGUCCUCCAGCAGUGUCACCUGCUCCCCACUGGAGGACACAGGCACGGAGCUUACGUAACCCGUUACCCCUGAGAGGCAGGUUCGGCACCGCGCUCCACCGGACGGAAUCGGAAAAACCAGAUGAAUCCCAAGAACAAACUGGUGAUUUCCCCGAGGGAACGGACGAGUUUGGAGGAGUGAUGGGUGCAAGGUACAGAAGGAGCAGAGGCAAGGGUCUACUGACGAGAAGGCUGCAGAAGUUGGCACAGGAGUUUGAAAAACAAAAAGGCGCUUCUCGGGGCUGCAUUACUCAGCGGCGAUUAGGAAAGCAGGAGGGAAAGAACCGGUGAACGACACCUGCGGAGCCCCCGGAUCCCGGGGUCCCAGGAACCGGUCGGAAAUGACAUCAAUAGAGAGGCUGGGCGCUCAGCGGUACAGCGGCCUGGGGACCACCGGCCGGAAGUGAGGCGGCGGAAGUCCCGCCCCGGAGGCGGUGCCGGGUGUGAGGGGCGUCGCGAUGGGCGGGGAGGAGCUUCGCUGAUCCUCCAGGAACCCUGGAUCCCCGACAGGUAACCUGCUGGCCGAACCUGGACCCUGGCGAGGCUCGGGGUUCGGGUUGGUGGCCCAGUUUGCUCGGGGCCCCACGCUCGGGCCGGGGGAAGUGGAUCUCACGUGAAGGGGUGGCCCGGGGACAGGCUCCGGGGCGUGGGACUCCUAGGGUGAUGGGGAUACGAGAAACUUUGGGGACGGGGUCGUGAGGGCCGAGGUCGCCGAGGAAAUACCGACUGAGUCUCCAGGACUCGGUCACGGCUGCGGGUCGUGGGCUCCGGAGCCUUGGCGCUCGGGGAUGGAGAGAUGGAGCCUGGGCGCUGAGGUGCGCUGACCUAGAGUUCAGUUGCCGCCUGCACUGAGCCCAGUGCAGCUCGGCGAGCAGCGGGCAGGGACUUGCCUUUUCAUCUCUGCAUCCCGUGCUUUGCCACGAUGGGCGUCCUUCAGAUGCCGUCGGGUAGGGACUGAUGAACGCACGAAGCUGACUGCCGCACCGGGGGUGGGGGGUGCGGGUGGGGUCCGGGGGGACCUUGUCCCGAAUUGUAGUGCCCCUGCCUCCGAAUGUAGAAGUGACUCCAGCGUGGUUCGUUCACCAGUGGUUUAUGCGGAUGCCGGUGUGGUAGACAUUCCGGACAUUGUUUUGUGGUUAUUGAAAUUUAGAAAUGUGCCCUCAUAUUUAUUUUAUUUUAUUAUUAUUUUAUUUAAUUUAUUUUAUUGUAUUGUGUUUAUUUAUUAUUUUAUUAUUUUAUUUUAUUGGCAUGGGAAGAGAAGGCAAUUAAUUUGACUUCUUUCAGGUUUCUUCACUAUUCUGGAAAGAACUUCCGGAUGAAUGAUACCGGGGAGGAGAGUUGGCCAUCAAAUAAGAAGCUGCAGCUUAUAGCGCUGAGCUUCUAAUUUGCGUUCUAAGUGCUUUCUUCUCAUGAAUAUGAACUCAUUUUCCUUUUUCUUAAUAUUUUCUUUUUUUAUAUUGGGGUUCCUUUACGUUUGAGAUGUAAAUGGGAAUUAUUUCAUAACCAAGAUAAAAGUAGUAAUUUAUGAAAAUCCAGUCAGAGAUUUCACCUGGUGGGUUCACAUAAGGUUAACUCCUUCCAAACAGUUGUAGGAGGCCUCAGAGAGAAUAAAUCACAGAAGAUUAAAUUGUUUCCUUUGUAAACUAUUUGUUCUGAUGUCUUAACUGUGAUGAAAAGUGGGAAUAGAUAUAAAGAGCAAGUACUGUAACCAGAUUGGUGUUGGUUGUCAGGCUGUGUAAUGGGAUCUGAGCAUGAAUCACUAACUGCAGUCCCAGGAGGUUCUAGAUCUUAUUAUUAGAUUGGAUAUGAUGCAGUAGGCAAACCUGAAUUUAUGGCUUUGUUUUUGUUUUUGUUUUGUUGCUUUGGUGUGUGUUUUUUACAAAGAAGAAACUAGUAAGCAUUUUUAGAUUAAAAAAAAAAUCUAAGAUGUUCUUAAAAAUAGGUUGGGGAAAAAAAGAAGUAGACAUGUAAAUAAAUAUUGCAGUCAUUUAAAUUCUAAAAGUUUGCCUGCCUUUCAAACUUGUUUUCCCAAUGUCUGGAAAGUGUUGGUAUCCAAAUCACCCCCAUCAUUGUAUGUUUUUGCUUUGCUGUCAACUUUUCAAUGUAUAUAAAUAUGGUAUAAAGUUAGGUUUUGAGACCCUCUAGAUUUACUUGAAUAUUAAUGUCUUACUUAAAAAUAAAGUUUAAUUUUGCUUCCUCAAUCUGCUGUUCAAUGUCAUAUCCACUUACUUUGCACAUCUAAAUGUCUGUAUUCAUAAUGGUAACUAUUGUAACUAGUAUUCAUAAUAAAUUGGUAUCCAAGUGGUGACUUAGGUUUGUGCAUUGACAUUCUUGAGGUUUUCAGUUUUGCAGAACACUGGUAUCCAUGGACUCUAACAUGGACUUCAUUUAAAGAAAUCCACGGACCAUUAACGGACAAAAACAUGAGUCAUUUUGUAUUGUGGCAUUCAAAUCCUAGCACUUUGGGAAAGCAUCAAGUACAAGUUUUUGAAGACCCUGAGGCCUACCAUCAUUAUGCAUUCAAGAUUUGAGUUUGAAUAACUUCAUCAAGACUUAGAUCCUCUUCAAAAGUCUCAAGUUUCAUCUGCAUUAAAGCUCUCCAUUGAACUCUGUCACAAAAUUAAAAGCGUAAAGGGACUAAAAUCCAUUAGUACAUUCCAUUGUAUACCCUUUUCUCUGAUCGCUCCAAUUUCCUUCACCGUAGGGUCUUUCAUAUUGCUUAUGUUCCUUUGCCUAGAGCCAAGGAAACAGCGUUUUC
Molecule: long non-coding RNA, 3325 nt
Organism: Myotis lucifugus (little brown bat)
Lineage: Eukaryota; Metazoa; Chordata; Mammalia; Chiroptera; Vespertilionidae
Exons: 2
Source: RefSeq, a predicted model, not a curated record